GGCAAAUUCACACGCUACAUUAUCAACUUCAUGCUUCACAUCUUAGAAAAUGGUUAGAGCUGAAUAUUUAAGACUUCUUCUAUUCAUAACUGUGAUGUGUGGUGUGGAUGGCACAACAGAGCUGUGCACAUGUAGCUGCUUUUCUGAUCAACCAAAGUAAGAAAUCCAGUUCAUUUAACUGUGAAAAACGAUUAAUAGUUUUCUUGUUG
Molecule: non-coding RNA, 209 nt
Organism: Misgurnus anguillicaudatus (oriental weatherfish)
Lineage: Eukaryota; Metazoa; Chordata; Actinopteri; Cypriniformes; Cobitidae
Source: RefSeq, a predicted model, not a curated record